AGUAAGUGGUGUAGGGAAGCAGUCUGGUUGUGGCUGAUGAAGGAAAACUGGUUGCUGGAAUCAUUAAACAGACGGAAGAAAAGGAAGAAGGAAGAGAGUCUUGGCUACCCUGAAAGAAGGAUUCUGGCUGUAGGGUUUCCCGGGAUCACCAUCUUCAUUUUCCUCAGUGGGUCGGCAUAUCGUUGCAGUGAGGUCCAUUGGCGGUUCAGUACGUGGGACAGUGGGCGUUGGGACGAAUGGGCAGCUGAGCGGUUUGGGAACUAACUUUAAUCGGACUUCCAAUACUUUUGUGUGGCAGCUAAGCACGAACAUUAUUUAUAUAUAUAUAUAUAUUUUUAGAGACUUUUACCAACAGGAGGGGAUUACCUCAGUUUGUAUUUUUUUUUAAGGUUCUCCCUCAUUUAUAACUGUUUCUAUUUGUAUGUGGUUUUUAAAGAGCAUUUUUUUCCCCUGUUGAGAAACAAUAAAAAUUUGUUUUAACCUACCUGGGUUUCCCAUAGUGUGUGUGUGUGUGUGUGUUGGACCCCCGGGGAUCAAAAUAACCUGUUCCGGGAAGGCUAUUACUACUCGAUCAUCAAGGUCCUUGCCCUUUUCGAACUCAAGGUGGCGUAGUUGGUAUUAUUCAAAUUAUUUAUUUACUUUUGGUUACCCCUGGUCACCCCACCCGUGACAUAGUUUUGAUACAGCAACACCACACUGUCCCUCCUUUAAAGAACCAGUUGUACUGCAAAGGAGAUUAUCUUAAGCUGAAACAAAGAAUUAUUUUAGACCUGCAGAGAACGUCCACUCUCCAACUUUCCUUACAGGGGAGAGUAUCAACAAUUAAAAUGAACAUUCUUACCCUGCAUACAUUUUCAGUUUUUUAUUACACUCAUGGAUAACUCCUAGCCCUGCACCACAACAGAUUUGGAUGGGUAUGUUUAGGGAUACUGUCCAAUUAGAACACUCCACAGCUCGUAUAAAUCAAGCCCGUGCUGCAACACUUCAGGCUUGGAGUCUCUACCACUCUCGCCAAUCUCUUAAUGGCAUAAUCAUCCUCUCUCUAUUCAUUACUAAAUCCUUGUCCUUCCUUUUUCUGAGCCCUUAUUUACCUGAAAGCUCUGGUGUAUUGAAGUAUAUAUAGUUCUAUUUCUGAUUUUGUUUCUCUGUGUGUUUGUGAUUUUGUGUUUGUUAUAUGCUUUUUAAAAAAAAUAAAAACAAUUGAACAAAAAAAAAAAGAACCAUUUGUCCAGAAUUGACCUAAGCUAGACAGGUCACGCUAUACCAGCGGUCCUCGUUAAAAAUAUGUGGAGGGCCACAUUAGUAUCAACAUAAUCUUUGGGGCCCACAUGUCAAUAUUUUAAUCAAUCGUUUCUCACAAAUGUGUUGUCUCACAGAUGCUGCUUAGUGGUUUUCUAAAAAUUGUAACAACACUUUUCUAUUACAAACGAUCUUAGCCAAAACAGUUUCUUCAGCAUUAUGAAGGCCACAAAUGCUUCAGAUUUGUAUAUUGUUUAAAGUCACAAACUACAGGGACUUGCAAAUUAGACAUAAUAAAAAGUGUACAGUUUACCUGGAAAAAGCAGAGAAGGGAAACUUGCCUUUGUUAUUAGGGCCACUGAUGUAUAUUCUAAGAGAAGAAAUUUUAACCCAAUAGCCAACAACAAUAUCAUGGGCAUAAACAGAAGAGUUUGUUGAAUCAUUCAAAAAUUGGUAGAAAAACAAACAUGAGCUAUGCAGAAUCAAGCAACAAUUCCCAAUAUUAUGUCUUUCAGAAGGAAAAUGUUUUACUGUACAAUUAUAUUUCUGUGAGAUGUGGCAGGCAUUGGGUGGUGGGGGAGUUGCUUUGUACAAAGGGAUCAUCAAUAAAGGACUAGCUCUGUUUUCUACUUGUAUGAAAUGUGUCAAGCAACAGUUCUGAACAUUUAAAGAGGCAAUUCCUUUAAAUCAGAUAUUUGUUGACAAGUAAAGACAUGUUCACUUUACUGUAAUUAAACAUGGCACCAAAUAAGUGGUUCAUUCAUUUUGCAGAGGGGGGAGAUAAAUGUCAAAAAUGGUUUCAGAAGAUUAUGUUUAAUAUUGGGGGGGGGAGGGAAACAGAAGGUAGCAGUACCAUAUGAAGCAAUAAAACCACCACCUUGUGUUUAAAAUAGUUUGUUUUCUUGGUAUCCUGUAAUUUGUCAUGCAUCUUGUAGUUUAGUGAUUUCAUCUUUUUGUGUAGGGUUUAGAUAAAUAAGGCCAUGCCUUUUGUGUAUCUUUGUACUGUGUGAUUUAUGAUAAAUCAAUAAAGGUCUGUUUCUGUGUA
Acipenser ruthenus (sterlet) is the source of this 2284-nucleotide long non-coding RNA. RefSeq lists it as uncharacterized. The transcript has 2 exons. The record is from RefSeq and is a predicted model, not a curated record. Lineage: Eukaryota; Metazoa; Chordata; Actinopteri; Acipenseriformes; Acipenseridae.